GCGCGGUAAUACGGAGGAUCCGAGCGUUAUCCGGACUUUUGGGUUUAAGGGUCCGUAGGCGGGAUAAUAAGUCAGUGGUGAAAGUUUGUGGCUCAACCAUAAAAUUGCCAUUGAUACUGUUAUUCUUGAGUUAUUGUGAAGUGGUUAGAAUGUGUAGUGUAGCGGUGAAAUGCAUAGAUAUUACACAGAAUACCAAUUGCGAAGGCAGAUCACUAACAAUGAACUGACGCUGAUGGACGAAAGCGUAGGUAGCGAACAGGAUUAGAUACCCUGGUAGUCUACGCAGUAAACGAUGGUUACUAGCUGUUUGGCAUAAUUGAGUGCUGAGUGGUUAAGCGAAAGUGAUAAGUAACCCACCUGGGGAGUACGUUCGCAAGAAUGAAACUCAAAGGAAUUGACGGGGGCCCGCACAAGCGGUGGAGCAUGUGGUUUAAUUCGAUGAUACGCGAGGAACCUUACCAGGGCUUAAAUGCAGUCUGACAGGGGUGGAAACACCUUUUUCUUCGGACAGAUUGCAAGGUGCUGCAUGGUUGUCGUCAGCUCGUGCCGUGAGGUGUCAGGUUAAGUCCUAUAACGAGCGCAACCCCUAUGGUUAGUUGCUAGCAGGUCAUGCUGAGAACUCUAGCCAGACUGCCGGUGUAAACCGCGAGGAAGGUGGGGAUGACGUCAAAUCAUCACGGCCCUUACGUCCUGGGCUACACACGUGCUACAAUGGUAUGUACAAUGAGCAGCCACCACGCGAGUGGGCGCAAAUCUCAAAAGCAUAUCACAGUUCGGAUCGGAGUCUGCAACUGGGCUCCGUGAAGCUGGAAUCGCUAGUAAUCGCACAUC
RNAcentral lists this ribosomal RNA (831 nucleotides) under uncultured Bacteroidota bacterium. RNAcentral's name for it is "bacterial SSU rRNA". It matches the Rfam family "Bacterial small subunit ribosomal RNA", at positions 515 to 1350 of the family's 1533-position model. The record is from RNAcentral. Lineage: Bacteria; Pseudomonadati; Bacteroidota.